This 718-nucleotide ribosomal RNA is filed under the name Phlogistus sp. NLG-2012. RNAcentral's name for it is "partial 16S ribosomal RNA". Lineage: Eukaryota; Metazoa; Arthropoda; Insecta; Coleoptera; Cleridae. The record is from RNAcentral.
AUAUUAAAAAGAAAAAUUUAAUUUUUGUACCUUGUGUAUCAGGGUUAAUUAAUUAAAUAUUCUCGAAUUUAAAAGAGCUAAUUUUAUUGUAAAAUAAAUAUUUAAAAUUAUUAGUUAGAAAUGAAACGUUAUUCGUUUUUAAAUAUAUCUAGUUUUUAAAGAAAUGAAUUUAAUUCAUUUAUUGAUAAUUAAAAUUUUUAGGGAUAAGCUUAAAAAAAAAAUUUUAUAAUAAUUUAUUAUUUUAAAAAUUAUAGGAUUAAAAAUUUCUAUAAAUAAAAAAUUGUUAUAAUUAAUUUAUUUAAAUAUUUUAUUUAAAUAUAGGUUUUAAUUUUAGAAUCUUAGAAAUAAUGAUUAAAUUAGUAAGGUUAAUUUAAGGAAUUCGGCAAAUUUAUUUUUCACCUGUUUAAUAAAAACAUGUCCUUUUGAAUAUAAUUUAAGGUCUAAUCUGCCCACUGAUUAAAUGGCCGCGGUAUUUUGACCGUGCAAAGGUAGCAUAAUAAUUAGUUUCUUAAUUAGAAGCUGGAAUGAAUGAUUGGAUGAGAAAAUAACUGUCUCUAGAAUUUUAUUUUUAAGUUAAAAAGCUUAAAUGUUAUUAAAAGACGAGAAGACCCUAUAGAGUUUUUUUGUUGGGGUGAUAGAAAAAUUUAAUUAACUUUUUUUGUUGAUGAUUUUUUGAUCCAUGAUUAAAAGAAUAAAUUACCUUAGGGAUAACACCCGA